Molecule: non-coding RNA, 31 nt
Filed under: Mus musculus (house mouse)
Lineage: Eukaryota; Metazoa; Chordata; Mammalia; Rodentia; Muridae
Source: RNAcentral
UNUAUGUAUGUAGCAGGUGUUUGCCUGGUCC